This 376-nucleotide ribosomal RNA is filed under the name uncultured bacterium. RNAcentral describes it as "bacterial SSU rRNA". It matches the Rfam family "Bacterial small subunit ribosomal RNA", at positions 524 to 898 of the family's 1533-position model. The record is from RNAcentral.
UACGUAGGGGGCGAGCGUUGUCCGGAGUUACUGGGCGUAAAGGGCGUGCAGGCGGUGCGGUAAGUUUAGCGUGACAGUCUCCGGCUUAACUGGAGAAGGCCGCUGAAAACUGCUGGACUUGAGGGCCAGAGAGGGACAUAGAAUUCCGGGUGGAGUGGUGAAAUGCGUAGAUAUCCGGAGGAAUACCAAAGGCGAAGGCAGUGUCCUGGCUGGCAACUGACGCUGAGGCGCGAAAGCUAGGGGAGCGAACAGGAUUAGAUACCCUGGUAGUCCUAGCCGUAAACGAUGACCACUAGAUGUGCGGGGUAUCGACCCCCUGCGUGUCGGAGCAAACGUUUUAAGUGGUCCGCCUGGGGAGUACGGUCGCAAGAUUAAA